CCGGACAACUCACCGGAUACGACAGCGGAAUGAUAGCCGGGCUGAAGACUCUGCUUGACUAGCUGAGAGGAGGUGGCAUGGCCGUCGUCAGUUCGUACUGUGAAGCAUCCUGUUAAGUCAGGCAACGAGCGAGACCCACGCCAACAGUUGCCAGCAUGAUCUCCGGAUUGAUGGGGACACUGUUGGGACCGCCUCUGCUAAAGGGGAGGAAGGAAUGGGCAACGGUAGGUCAGCAUGCCCCGAAUUAUCCGGGCUACACGCGGGCUACAAUGGAUGGGACAAUGGGUUUCGACACCGAAAGGUGAAGGUAAUCUCCUAACCCCACCCGUAGUUCGGAUUGCGGGCUGCAACUCGCCCGCAUGAAGCUGGAAUCCGUAGUAAUCGCGUCUCACGAUGGCGCGGUGAAUAUGUCCCUGCUCCUU
RNAcentral lists this ribosomal RNA (422 nucleotides) under uncultured Methanocalculus sp. RNAcentral describes it as "bacterial SSU rRNA". It matches the Rfam family "Archaeal small subunit ribosomal RNA", at positions 918 to 1338 of the family's 1478-position model. The record is from RNAcentral. Lineage: Archaea; Methanobacteriati; Methanobacteriota; Methanomicrobia; Methanomicrobiales; Methanocalculaceae.